Molecule: non-coding RNA, 1757 nt
Organism: Microcebus murinus (gray mouse lemur)
Lineage: Eukaryota; Metazoa; Chordata; Mammalia; Primates; Cheirogaleidae
Source: RefSeq, a predicted model, not a curated record
CUAUAAUAUUUUAAAAUAAAAUAUUUUUUAGAAAAGGAAACAAACAAAAAGAACCAAGGAGCCUCCUAGGUUAGUGAUGGAAGGAAAAGGGAAACAAUUUGCUUCUAGCACAAGGUACAAUGAUGCCAGAAAAAAGAAGUAACGCUGAGAACACCACACAGUCUUUGAAUAUUGAGAGACUUCUCCAGUGGGCACACAGGAUUCUGCAGUAGAGAAAUUACACUAAAUGUAGAACUAAAAAUGAGAUUGGCUUAUCUGAAAUCUCAGUGGGCAUGAGAAAUGCAAGACAUUAGUAGUCCUUGUCCAAUAGCAUUUGUCAACUUACAGGAGAUAACACUCAUUCCUCAGCUAUACCAAAGUGCCCGAGACAUGAGGCUCUGUCACCUUGGAUAGGUAUAGUAGAUGUCACAAUAACUCCCAGUUACCAAUGACAUGGGGACCACAUGUGGAGGCGCAGCAACUGGAAACUUUCCCCAGGGUAGAAGGGAAAUAAAGGUGCUGGUGUUUAGCAGUGAUCAAGAGGCCUCAUUCAUAGAAUACAUGAUGAAGUGGCUUGGGAAAUACAGGAAUCUUGCAGAAGUAAUAAUGAUGACUGUGAGUAAUAGCUACUUCAUUUCCUAUGUAAUUCUUGGCAUUGUUUCUGUGAAGUAGAACAACGAUAUCAAAAUAUUUCACUGGAAAUUAAUAAGCUCUCAAGUUAAAUUAUAAAAUAUCCUGUGAUGUGAGACACAACAUCCAAAAGUAUUGAACCAAGUAGAAGAAACUGCUAAAAACCAAUGUUUUCUCUAUCUUCUCGUGAUAAAACACAGAGAACAUUUCCCAGUUUAUUACUGCUUGGAACUUAGGAGUAGAAGAAAUACUCUCUCAUUUGCCUGGAGUCUAAGCGCUAUGUGGGGCACCCCUGGCACCUGCCCAGUCUCUUACCCAGGGGCAGGGUCCUGGGAGGCAGACUCCUCACACACACCUGGAAGCGCAGAAGACAUCCUACAGGGUCCUCAGCAAUCAGACAAUAGUCCUGACUCUCAGUGAACUUUCAUUUCCUGAGCUCUGUACCCAGCCUCCCUGGACCUACAACAGCCACCAGUCUCUCAGCACUAGCUAAUGUCCCUCACCUUGUCCUUGGGCUCGACCCAUCUGAUCAGGCUGCCUCUGAGUCUGGCCCUCCCUGCCAGUUCUGCACUCAUGUCAAUACAGAUACUCUCUCAGAGAAGAUGAGCAAACAAAUGUUGGAUAGCACAGGUCUGAUAAGGCCCAAGUGACCCUGACACAAAACACACUUCAGAUUGCAGAUUUGGGGUGUACAUAUAUAAACUAUACUGAAGACUUUGGGGAAGAUUAAGAAAACUUUUUAUGAGAACUUGCUUUUAUUCCUGGUAUAAUAAGGAUUACUAUUAUAAAUUAAUGCUGAAUUUUAAUAAACACUUUAUUGGCAUAUAAUGAAGUAAUCGUGAUUUUCUCCUUUAUAAAACUGAUGUGGAAAAUCAUGGUAAACCAAUCUUGUGUCCCUGCUUUAAUCCCAAUUUGCUCAGGUAUUAACUUUGUCAUAUACUACUUGACUUAGCUUGCUCAUAUUUUCUUUAGAAAUUAUGCACUUAUUUGACAUAAAGUUCAUAAUAUUCUCAUUAUAUUUUCAGUACCUACAAAGAAUUAUAAUGAUGUCCCCUUUAUAUAUUCCUAACACCCAGCUAUUAUUUUAAUCUCUUUUCCUUCUUUGAGCUUGCCAAUUUUAACAGAUUUUUUAAAAACAAAAUUUUGGC